This is a long non-coding RNA of Cylas formicarius (sweet potato weevil), 677 nucleotides long. RefSeq lists it as uncharacterized. The transcript has 4 exons. NCBI's taxonomy places the organism in Eukaryota, Metazoa, Arthropoda, Insecta, Coleoptera, Brentidae. The record is from RefSeq and is a predicted model, not a curated record.
CACAAAGCUUCAAGGUUAUUAAAGUGUUGAUUCGCGAAAUUUACUCCAUGUUAAUGUGGAAAUGCUGUAUGAGUUUUUGGCAAAUAACGUAAAUUUAAACGAACCUCAGAGCAGUGGCGAAGUAGUAAAGUCCCGAAUUUCGGACGACGGCGCGUCGCAGGUCUGAGAGACGCUACCGCCGACCGGGUCACCGACCUCGGCGUCUGCGUCGCCAAUUACUUCGCCAUUGCCCGCAUCCUCGUCCCCGCUAAAGGUCUCCAGCAGCACGUCGUCGUUACUGGGGGUCUGUUGAAAAAGGAACCACGAAAACGACUUAAAAUAAUGAAGAAUUAAACGGCAGUGGAGCGCUGAAGAAUCUGGUUCAAACAAAAUCUCAAAAACGUUCAAAAAAUUCGAAAAUGUUCGAUUUGACAGCUGAAUGAAAGAAAACAUUGCGUCACGACUCAACACAGAAAAAAUCCCAAGGAGGAACAAAAGGACCAACCAGAGAAAAGCAAGCAACUCACCAAAGACCCAUCGUCGGGAGACGAAUCUCUUCCUCUGUCGCAUCGCACUACCGAAACACCGCAAAGGUAGACGGUGCCGAAGAACAGCAAUUUUGAGAUGCGCAGCCGCAACUGCGCGAGUUCCGGAUCCAGAGAUUUCGACGCGAAUGUUGUCUCUCUUUCGUUGAACAU